This 423-nucleotide ribosomal RNA is filed under the name uncultured bacterium. RNAcentral describes it as "bacterial SSU rRNA". It matches the Rfam family "Bacterial small subunit ribosomal RNA", at positions 355 to 776 of the family's 1533-position model. The record is from RNAcentral.
UAAGGAAUAUUGGUCAAUGGACGCAAGUCUGAACCAGCCAUGCCGCGUGGAGGAUGAAGGCCCUCUGGGUUGUAAACUUCUUUUCUUUGGGACGAAACCCCUAUUUCUAUGGGGACUGACGGUACCAGAGGAAUAAGCACCGGCUAACUCCGUGCCAGCAGCCGCGGUAAUACGGAGGGUGCAAGCGUUAUCCGGAUUCACUGGGUUUAAAGGGAGCGUAGGUGGACUUUUAAGUCAGUGGUGAAAUCUCUGGGCUUAACCCGGAAACUGCCAUUGAUACUAUUAGUCUUGAAUUCUCUGGAGGUAAGCGGAAUAUGUCAUGUAGCGGUGAAAUGCUUAGAUAUGACAUAGAACACCCAUUGCGAAGGCAGCUUACUACGGAGACAUUGACACUGAGGCUCGAAAGCGUGGGGAUCAAACAGG